GGAGUGGUGUGAUAAUUGGUAGUCGGCAUGAUUGGAAAUCAUGUGCUCUGAAAUAUGGGUUGCAGGUUCAAGUCCUGUCCACUCCG
Molecule: transfer RNA, 86 nt
Filed under: Caudoviricetes sp.
Lineage: Duplodnaviria; Heunggongvirae; Uroviricota; Caudoviricetes
Description: tRNA-Ser
Rfam family: tRNA
About the family: Transfer RNA (tRNA) molecules are approximately 80 nucleotides in length.
Source: RNAcentral